RNAcentral lists this ribosomal RNA (376 nucleotides) under uncultured bacterium. RNAcentral's name for it is "bacterial SSU rRNA". It matches the Rfam family "Bacterial small subunit ribosomal RNA", at positions 28 to 404 of the family's 1533-position model. The record is from RNAcentral.
GACGAACGCUGGCGGCGUGCUUAACACAUGCAAGUCGAGCGGUAAGGCCCUUUCGGGGGUACGACGAGCGGCGAACGGGUGAGUAACACGUGGGUGACCUGCCCUCAGCUCUGGGAUAAGCCUGGGAAACCGGGUCUAAUACCGGAUAUGACUCCAUGACGCAUGUUGUGGGGUGGAAAGCCUUGUGCGGCUGAGGAUGGGCCCGCGGCCUAUCAGCUUGUUGGUGGGGUGAUGGCCUGCCAAGGCGACGACGGGUAGCCGGCCUGAGAGGGCGACCGGCCACACUGGGACUGAGACACGGCCCAGACUCCUACGGGAGGCAGCAGUGGGGAAUCUUGCGCAAUGGGCGAAAGCCUGACGCAGCGACGCCGCGUGA